GGAUAACUUCGGGAAACCGGAGCUAAUACCGGAUAAUAUUUUGAACCGCAUGGUUCAAAAGUGAAAGACGGUCUUGCUGUCACUUAUAGAUGGAUCCGCGCUGCAUUAGCUAGUUGGUAAGGUAACGGCUUACCAAGGCAACGAUGCAUAGCCGACCUGAGAGGGUGAUCGGCCACACUGGAACUGAGACACGGUCCAGACUCCUACGGGAGGCAGCAGUAGGGAAUCUUCCGCAAUGGGCGAAAGCCUGACGGAGCAACGCCGCGUGAGUGAUGAAGGUCUUCGGAUCGUAAAACUCUGUUAUUAGGGAAGAACAUAUGUGUAAGUAACUGUGCACAUCUUGACGGUACCUAAUCAGAAAGCCACGGCUAACUACGUGCCAGCAGCCGCGGUAAUACGUAGGUGGCAAGCGUUAUCCGG
This 420-nucleotide ribosomal RNA is filed under the name Staphylococcus aureus. RNAcentral's name for it is "bacterial SSU rRNA". It matches the Rfam family "Bacterial small subunit ribosomal RNA", at positions 141 to 548 of the family's 1533-position model. The record is from RNAcentral. Lineage: Bacteria; Bacillati; Bacillota; Bacilli; Caryophanales; Staphylococcaceae.